AAAAUUAGUUAAAGCAUAACAUAGGCUUGUCAAGCCUAAAUUAUUAAUAUAUAAUAUUUUA
RNAcentral lists this transfer RNA (61 nucleotides) under Palaemon tenuidactylus. Its description in RNAcentral is "tRNA-Asp". The record is from RNAcentral. Lineage: Eukaryota; Metazoa; Arthropoda; Malacostraca; Decapoda; Palaemonidae.